UAAUUCUAAUUUCGCGAGCAAAUGGACUUCGUCAUCUUCGUUUUACGGCGAGUCGACAACGCCUAAGCUUCUUCUGAAUCUCUUUGAGACGGUGUGAGUUAUGCGAUUUCUAGGAUUGCCACUAUUCUUAAGCAAUUGUCGUUUAAAACCGACAAAGAAGCUCCGGCUGGGUUACGGGGAUGAGUAUUUCCUGCCAAUCUAUGGUGGUAGCCGCUGUCUAUGUCGAAUCGCCUGGACCGUUACAAAACUCUACUGCAUUCAGUCAUCGUCAUUAACGAUCUCAUUAAUACAGAUUCCCCACUCCUCUCAUGAUGUUUGCCCUUCUCGCUUCCAUUGUGCAAAUCUACAACUAUAAAUAUGACACAUUUAUUUUAUAUUUUUAAAGUACAAAAGAGUUGCUUAUAUAUAGGUUGUUAAGAAAGAUGAAGAUGUGAAAGUUCUUGAAAUGGUGGGGGGUGAGGAUUGGUUGCCUCAACCGACAAAGGUUAUCUUCACUAAAAUUAUCUCACUAAUAUCAAAAAGUCCGCUGAAGAUUUCAGCCAUUACAUCAUUGAGGUAGUUUUGUAUGUAUAUGCUUCUCAUGUUUUCUUUUAGAAAGGAGGUUGGAUGACAUUAUGUUGCAGUUCUAGAAUAUUGAUGUCAUCAGAAUUAUUAGCAGUGUUCUUGGCCAGAGCAUAGCUUUGAAUUACUAAUUUACUAUGGCCGGCAGGUAGCAAUCACAUAUCAGUUUGUUUCUGUUAGGUUGAUGGUAUGGUAGCAAUUAGCAAAGUUAACUGAACAAACCAUGUGAUGGAGAAAACAGGAACGCUUACAACGGACAUGAAGAAGCUGUUCCAGUUGGAGAUUUUUCACUAAAGCAACUCCAAACGAAGAGUUUCUAAUUUGUUUUUAGUGUGUUUUAUCAUUUUAUUUUCCUAGGUGAAUUUGUAAGCAAGUGUUUCAUAUAUGACUUGCUGCAACCGUAAAAAUUGUGUUUUUACUUUUAUGCGUCAAUCUUUUAAUAAUACAAUAAAAGGGUCAUGUGCUAAUCUUCCUUUGAAA
Brassica oleracea var. oleracea is the source of this 1041-nucleotide long non-coding RNA. RefSeq lists it as uncharacterized. NCBI's taxonomy places the organism in Eukaryota, Viridiplantae, Streptophyta, Magnoliopsida, Brassicales, Brassicaceae. The transcript has 2 exons. The record is from RefSeq and is a predicted model, not a curated record.